UACGUAGGGUGCGAGCGUUAAUCGGAAUUACUGGGCGUAAAGCGUGCGCAGGCGGUUUUGUAAGACAGAUGUGAAAUCCCCGGGCUCAACCUGGGAACUGCGUUUGUGACUGCAAGACUUGAGUGUGGCAGAGGGGGGUGGAAUUCCACGUGUAGCAGUGAAAUGCGUAGAGAUGUGGAGGAACACCGAUGGCGAAGGCAGCCCCCUGGGUCAACACUGACGCUCAUGCACGAAAGCGUGGGUAGCAAACAGGAUUAGAAACCCGUGUAGU
Molecule: ribosomal RNA, 271 nt
Filed under: uncultured bacterium
Lineage: Bacteria
Description: partial 16S ribosomal RNA
Rfam family: Bacterial small subunit ribosomal RNA
Source: RNAcentral